This 27-nucleotide small RNA is filed under the name Bombyx mori (domestic silkworm). RNAcentral's name for it is "piRNA piR-bmo-2182610". The record is from RNAcentral. Lineage: Eukaryota; Metazoa; Arthropoda; Insecta; Lepidoptera; Bombycidae.
UGAAUAAUCGCUGGAUCCGGCUCGAAG